Molecule: microRNA precursor, 80 nt
Filed under: Medicago truncatula (barrel medic)
Lineage: Eukaryota; Viridiplantae; Streptophyta; Magnoliopsida; Fabales; Fabaceae
Description: MIR5269 microRNA precursor family
Rfam family: MIR5269 microRNA precursor family
Source: Rfam by way of RNAcentral
UUGAAUUAAUUCAAUGUGGGUCAUACACUUUGGGAAUGGAACCCAAAUAAAGUGGUGGAACAUACAUUGAUUUUAUCCAA